UACGAAGGGGGCUAGCGUUGCUCGGAAUCACUGGGCGUAAAGGGUGCGUAGGCGGGUCUUUUAAGUCAGGGGUGAAAUCCUGGAGCUCAACUCCAGAACUGCCUUCGAUACUGGCGAUCUUGAGUCCGGAAGAGGUGAGUGGAACUGCGAGUGUAGAGGUGAAAUUCGUAGAUAUUCGCAAGAACACCAGUGGCGAAGGCGGCUCACUGGCCCGGAACUGACGCUGAGACGCGAAAGCGUGGGGAGCAAACAGG
RNAcentral lists this ribosomal RNA (254 nucleotides) under uncultured bacterium. RNAcentral's name for it is "partial 16S ribosomal RNA". It matches the Rfam family "Bacterial small subunit ribosomal RNA", at positions 524 to 776 of the family's 1533-position model. The record is from RNAcentral.